Triticum urartu is the source of this 5304-nucleotide long non-coding RNA. RefSeq lists it as uncharacterized. The record is from RefSeq and is a predicted model, not a curated record. NCBI's taxonomy places the organism in Eukaryota, Viridiplantae, Streptophyta, Magnoliopsida, Poales, Poaceae.
GACAUUGGUGCUGUCAUGCGAAGAUCUCCAUAAAUGCAACAACAUAUUUGUUGACAAAGGUAUAUCUUCAUAAAACCAUACUCUGCCACCCCAUAUCAGUAGUAGCAUUAUAAUCACAGCCUUGAAAUUCCAUUUGUGAAGAUAUAGGAUGGCACAGCUACACAAAUAAUUUCAGCACCAAUUGUGUUUUGCCUUCAGUUCUACUAUCUAGAGAAAAAAACGAAGAGAAAUAAAAUAAAUUAGGAGCAGCAAGUCACCAACACACCACCUGUUCACUCACCUACCCCGUUCUGCGCACCACCUGUCCACCCCCCUGCUGCGCUAAGCUAAACAACACACCGCGAAAGACUACCACCAUCUUCCGCCGACCGCCGGCCACCUCCGGCCUGCCUACGCGAGCUCCUCCCGACGGCGCCACCCCCCUCACCUCGACGCGGGAACACUGCCGUGGGAGGAGGAGGAGAUGGAGUUCCUGUACGAUUGUGCCGCCACCGCCACCGCCGUCGUCGCGGACGUGGCGGCCGCGCUCGCGGGCACCGCCGGUAUCCAGGCGUCCUCUCCCUCUGCCGUCGCGUCCAAGAGAGGUACCGGAGCGGCCAGCUGAAGAGGGCUCUGUGCGAGGCUGAAGCCAACGCCUUCAAGAAUUUACAGGUGUGCCUUUGAUUUGUUCAUUGAUGUUGAUAGCUAGUACAAUUGAUUGAAUACAUCUCCCGCCUCGCCUCCUCUGACACGUACGAUUCUAGCCAUCUCACUCAUGUUCUCGUGGUGCUGUGGGCCAACAUCGGUGGAGCUGCUGAUGGGGUGAGCAGAUUGGCCUUGCUCCUGAAUUCUGGCCGUGUUUGGGAUGGCCGGCGAAGAUGUCUAAUUCAGGUGCUUUGGGUGCCUCGGCUUCGGUUCCUUUGCUUCCCUUAAUGUUCUGGUGGCCGUGCGUUUCCUCGGCUUCUUCUGCCUGUGUUGAGCUUUCCUGAAUCCCUGGCGAGCAAUUGUUUUUUCUAGAAUACUCAGUUCCUGGGUGGAUGCUUAUGAAUCAGAUAAGUGGACUUGGGCACUUGACUCUUUUUUAAUAGGAAAAAUAGUGAUUAAAUUCUUAUAAUUCAGGGCGACCCGGCAUUAUUUUCUAGUAAAAGGCAGCUUUUAUUAAUAUUGCUGUCUAGGUUGAUGAACUGGUGCAUUUGUUGUGCCUGAUAUGUAAUUUCUAAUUUUGAUAGCCUGACUGAUACAUUUCCACCCCUCAAUUCCUCUUGGUUAUGUGCACCGUGGCCUCUUAACUGAUAUAGUACUCUUGUUUCGUUGAUGAAAUGGAACAAAGAGGUGCAGCUCCUGUAUUCGAGAAAUGAAAAUCUUAUGGUUAUAUUGUACAUUGGUGCUACCACGUCAGGUAAGUGGUAGAUCCCUGCAUCCAAUACAAGUUUAGACAGUAAUACUGGUUAAAUUAAAUCAUGAUCAACAGUUAAAAUCUGCUACAAGUUAAGGUGAAUGGUCCCUUGAAUUGUAUGCCUGGUUCACAUGAUGAAUCCUUUGUGCAGGGAGUUCUAGUGAUGCAUUAUACAAGGAGCUAUAUGGCAUGCUUGCGCUGGGCCGUUGGUGCUUCGCCAAGGUGAAAGAGUUUACUACUUCCACAUGGACAUAUGGAACAGCUGCAGAAACUUGACAUACUGGACUGCUUCCUCCAACGUUGUGCUAAUGUCAACCUGGAAACGCAUAAAAUUGCUGUGUUAGAUGGACUCUCCAUUAUUCAGUAAGUGAAUCACUAACCAAUAAGUGAGAGCUUACUUUGGUUCCAUUGGGAAUCAGGUUCUGCAGUUCUCUCAAUUUCUCGUUGAUCCUCUCUCUUCUCCUCUGUAAGAAGCAUCACAAAUACCGUCAGAGAACAGAAAUAUUCAUAUUCCACGAUCAGAACAAGAGUAACAUAACCGUGUCCUAACCUUUGCACAAAGAGACUGCAAAUUCUUCGAAGGCCGCUUGCAACCUCUUGAAUUGUCACCCUGGUUCGGAACAAAGGAUUCCUCAGAUGCGUCAAUCAAAUCUUCUUCCGAGCUGCAGCAGGACGAAGAGCUCUGAUUGACAGUGUCACCAUUGGUCUCGUUAUCAGCUAGGCUUAAACACGGAGCAUCUGAUACCUGCAAACAAUUGCAUCAAUCAGAAUGUUAGAACAGUCGAAGGAUUUAUUUCAAGAGAGGAUGCACAACUUCGCAUUCACAAUAUCGUAGCCUUACCGAGGGAACAGUCCGGGAUUUCUUGCUAGUUCUCUUGAUCUGCUCAUCCAUAUGGGAUGUCCUCUUGUGACCAGUAACGGUCUGAUGCCGGUGAUCAAAGCAUAGGUCCAUGCCAGUGUUCACCAUUGGCGUUGUGGCAUGGCUCUCCAUGUCAAGAGGAAGGAACAAAUUACUAUGCACUGUGCUAGCUGUAACACAAGAAUUGUCACUGGUGUUUGGAGAGCACAGGUUGACAGCAGCAUCACUGUUGCUCCAGAACAUGGACUGCAGGUGAGCAAUCAUCUCAGACUCCUCGCUCCUCCCAUCGACAGAGCUCCAGAUAGCUGCGCACUUCGCCUCCAUUCUGUUGGGCUAAUGUCGAUCGGAACCUUCUACUGCAAUUUCUAAAACUUCUAAAAUCUAGUGCAAGGACUGUGGUAAUGUUGUCUUGUGAGUACAGAGCAGGUAGGGACAUGUACAUUUAUACUACGUUCCCAGAGAAUCUUUUCAGAUAUAUAUUUGACUGAGGUUACACCCUACUCUUAACUAGAGCAGAAUGACAACUAGGCAGGGUACUAGUUUAUUUCUUCGAGCAAUGACCCAUACCCUCAGGAUCUUCAACAUCAAAAACUAGAAAGAUUGUGUUGGGAAUCGUCUGCCCAUUGAGCAAUCUAAAGAGGCAAUAAUGUCAUACUGAUGCCUCCAGGGAAUGCCAAGAGAACAAUAAUACCAUAAGCUCAUGGUUUAAUACGAGAGAAUGGCAACAAUAAUUGCCACCAAGUGAUUCAUAUGAUCAGUUAUAAAGUUGCAAAAUUCCACAAGAUGAUAUUAGUCAAAAACAAAAAAUAUCUAAUAAAUGAUUAGGGGGUGGCCAGGAGUAAGAAAAUUUGGAGUGGACAUAGUCAUGGAGGAGAAGUGCUCGCAGAUCAUAAAUGGAAUAGAGUAGAUUAAGAUAAUAUCAACUUAGUUUGCAACUUCUUAUUUCUCUUUGUGAGAAUAAAACUUUGCAACAGUUGAUUCAAUAUGCAAGGGAAAUUUGUUACAUCAUGUGAUAUACUGUUGCGUGAAGGCUAUCUGUGAUCCACAUUUUGCGAGUACUUCAACUGUCACCUGUGCUUGCACUUUUACAUGGCAACCUUGCCAGUUGCCGCUGCUGAAACCAACCCAAAAAACGUAGGAGCACAUUUUUUUUAAUGAGAAUGCUAUAUUAAAUAGUUUGGAUGAAGUAAUGAAGUCCCUUAUUUCGAGUAUUAGGACAGCUCAAGACGUGCUUAAAUUCGUAUCAACUAUCAAGUAUGAUAAACGCGUUUUGUGCAAGGGUCAGCAUUCCAGCUGGUAUUAAUUAAGAUGCAGAAUGAUUGGCAACUAGAUUCAGAAAUCAGAAGAGAUUGCUUUGAAUAUGCACCUCCAAAUGGGCCAAGUUCAUUAUUGCCUUCACAACAUACAAUCUCCAGUUUGGUAGUACCCAUUGAAAGGAUCACACGGAAUAUACCAAAUACAAUCAUUUAUUAAACUAACUGUGAAUAAUUUCAACCAAUUAUGAAUAACAGUACCGGAGAUCCGUGCAAUACCUAUCUCAGAAGGUUGCAUAGUGGAAAAGAGAUCAUAAACUGCUGCAUAUGGAACUGGAAAACAGUACCGGAGAAGCUAAUAAUAAUGCAAUUGCCAACUUGCUUCGCCUUAGUAUAAGAUGCAGCACGUAAUGCGAGCAAGCUAUGCAAAUAACACUGAAGUCAUACAUUUUUGUGUGUACUAGUAUAAUUUAACUGUAUUAAUUCAACUUUAAGUAUGACCCUAGCUAAGAGUUAAUAUCAUUUCGACUUGCUAAUUUGAGAAAAGGAAAACAACUAAUCCCUUUGUUCACAAAUAUACGAUGCUCUUGACUUUUUGGCGAUUCAGAUGUACAUAGACAUGUUUUAGUGUGUCUGUCCACUCAUAUAAGAUGCUCUUAACUUUUUGCCAUUCGGAUGUGCAUAGACAUGUUUUAGUGUGUCUGUCCACUCAUUUCAGUCCUAAUGUAAUCCAUAUUAAAAUAUCCCAAACAUCCUAUAUUUAUAAGGGAGGGAGACAGGGAGUAUUAAAUUUCAAGGGUUAAUUAUCCUUUUGCCCUCAGUGGUGUCCAUGUGCUCAGUUUUGCCCUCAGAUGCGAAUUGUGCUCAGUUUUGCCCCUAGUCCGUGCGCACCGACUCGUUUCGUGAACUCUGCCGUCUCCGUCAGGUCAACCUUUUGACCCGGCCCUUACAGGUGGGACCAGGCGACAGAAACGGCCAAUUUUAUUCAGACCGUUGCACGCGUGGCUUGUGGGACCCAGCAGAGAGCCGUUGAGCAGAGAGCCGUUGGCAGGUGUGCUAUAUAAGCGGGCGACAGCGGCGGUGACCACGGCGACAGAGAGCACGGCAGUGACCACGGCGAGAGAGAGAGCACGGCGGCGGGAAGCUAGCUGUGGAGGGCGCGGCGGUGGGAAGCUAGCAGUGGAGGGCGCGGCGGCGUUGAGAUCCCUUCGGCUCCGAGCUCCAUGUCUUCCUCAAGCUCCCGCGCCACCUCGCGGAUGCAGAGCCGGGCGCGUGUGGACAUGCCUGUCUUCGUCUGUCCGCGGUGCCGGGCGGGCGUUGAUCGGAGGGUUUCUCAGACACCGAGGAACCAGAAUCGUCCAUUCUACGUGUGCAGCGAGAAUAGGGUGACAUGCUUCUUUCUUUGGGUCGAUGCUCUGGCCAAGACUCUGAUGAAUGAACUGCAAGAAGAGCAUGAAGAAUGGUUGCGCAUGCUGCCACGAACGGCAGUGGCCACACCACGAGCUCCGAAAGAAGGGAUGGAGGGCGAAGCACGCACUGACAGAGAGCUAGCUGUUGAGCUUAGGAUGUUGAAGAAGAAGGUUAGGAAGCUUGAAGAUCAAGCACUACCAAUACCCAUUUGCAAAUACUUUUGGGCAUUUGUAGGUAUGGUAAUCGCACUGGUUGUAAUGUUGAAAAUGUAUGGAAAGGCAUGAAUUAUGGAGGAAUUUGUAAUCUUGAAAUUGUUUGAGAAAUCCACCUAGUUUAAAUGUUGGUUAAAGUUGUUUAAAGGUUGUUUAAAUGUUGAAACAAAAAGAGAAGAAGUGACCAACAUUUAA